AUGACAAUGGAGGCCUUCGUCGUUGACGGAGGAAAUGAUGGGACAGUUGCCCGUUGGGGUUUGCGGCCUGUCACAGGUGAUCGGUCGUGGGGGUCGUACAUGAGGUUUGCAAGCAAUCCCAAUAACUCAAUGUAUGGUCAGCCGAUGGUGUAUGUGGAGUUCAUUUCAGUCACUGAUGUUGCCGGAUGCAGUAGCAGGGGUGGUGAGGUCGAGUUGGCCAUCACAUCAGCCCCUAGCAUCGGCCCAUCGGAACCGACGGGCGGCCAGCCUGUGUAUGACACAAGAUAUUGGUCGGCGGCCGUUGACAUGAGCGAACACGUGGAGGGAUUGCCAGAGGCGCUAGAUGAUGAUGAUCAUUCUUCUGCGUCUUCGGAGUCAAGCGGAGAAGAAGAUGUUCCUCCUCAGAGGGCGGUCGCGGCGGCACUGCAACCUGGGUUUUUACAGGAUAUGAGCAUCCAACGAAUUUCACUCUGCUUCUAG
Molecule: ribosomal RNA, 480 nt
Filed under: Triticum aestivum (bread wheat)
Lineage: Eukaryota; Viridiplantae; Streptophyta; Magnoliopsida; Poales; Poaceae
Description: partial small subunit ribosomal RNA
Source: RNAcentral